UGGAGGAUGAGGGCAUUAAACUGAGUUAAUAUUGGUAUGAUGAAAACAGCUGAUAAGGCUCACGAAAGACAAGCAGUUCGGGACUGUACCAAGGAAAGCAGUCUCAAUAUAAAGCCAGUGAGAGAGAAAUGGCCAAGAUAACUUCUGAAAAAGUGAACAGAAGCAGAGAGCAAAGAAGACAGUGAUGAUUCCCAGAAAUGACAGCUGUUAAGAAGAGAUUAAGUAGGUGGACAGAGAAAGAAAAAGAGAAGAUGUAAAAAGCCAAGG
Non-coding RNA from Meleagris gallopavo (turkey), 267 nucleotides. The record is from RefSeq and is a predicted model, not a curated record. Lineage: Eukaryota; Metazoa; Chordata; Aves; Galliformes; Phasianidae.